UAACCCGGUAACCCAUUACCCGACCCGGUUCUCUCUCAACCCCACUCAGCUCCCAAACCCAGCCGCCACACUUGACCUAUUUUCCUUCCUUCUUUAAUUCACGACACAUAGCUUCCUUCUGUUUCCAAGAAGGAAAGAAAAGAGCAGAAAGUGGGAGAAGAGGAACGGGAAGGAGAGGAGAGGAGGAGGACGGCGCCGGCGGGCGUCACUGCCGCCGCGCCGUCGCGUCGCGUAGAGACGAGAGGAGCGAGAUCUGAGGAUGAGACAAGGAUCUGCGCCGGUGGCACUGGGGUUUGCUGCCGCCGUUUGAUGCCGCCGAGGGGAGGAGGGUUACAGCCACCGCAAGGGGCCUGCCGAUGUCACCCUCACGAGUCACCAUUCCCGAGCUGCAGCACCAUGGAGCCAGCCUCGUCGCGCCGUCACGGCUGCCCGCGCUAUCGUCGUCGCCGUUGGUCCACCGGGGGUCGCCAUCGAAGUUGAGACACGAAGAGAGGGGGUACGCGAGCGAGAAGGGGUCUGAGGGCCUGAAACCGCCGCGCUUGGUCUCGUCGGUGAAGCCAUGGCCGCCGUCAUCGGAACAGAGGGCGCGAGAGAGACAGAAAGCUCGCGGUGGGGGAAAGGACAGGCGCCGCCAUGCUGCACGGAGCUAUCGCCGCCGUUCCUGCCGCCGGUAAGCCUCGGUUAACACCGCCAAAGCUCCGGCCAUCACCGUCGCUGAGGAAGCUCACCAGAGUUGCUGGAGGCUGCCGCCGCUCUGCCUGGUUGUGUUGAGUCGCGCCGCCGUGCCUGGCCGCCGGAAAACCCCGCUGCCGUCGCCGAAAAACUCUACCUGCGCCAUUGCCAGAGUCCGGUCACUGCUUACUGCUUGAGGUGGCUGCCAGGCUGCUACCGUUGAACCGGUUCAGAGACCGCCGCUGUUCCGGUUUAGCUGUUCCUUCUUCAUUCGUGUUGCUGUGGUUACCGCGGGAGUGGCUUGGAGCCGAGGUUGCGGUUGUUGGUGAUUUCGGUUUAAGAGAGGAGGUUCCUAUGACGCGUUUGGGUUAUGGAUUUGCGUUUUGAGGAUAUGGGCGCAGAAGUCACGAAGAGUUAUUUAGUUGUUGUUGAGAUGCUCUGUAUUGU
Molecule: non-coding RNA, 1119 nt
Organism: Arachis ipaensis
Lineage: Eukaryota; Viridiplantae; Streptophyta; Magnoliopsida; Fabales; Fabaceae
Source: RefSeq, a predicted model, not a curated record